GAUGAACGCUGGCGGCGUGCCUAAUACAUGCCAGUCGAGCGAACAGAUGAGGAGCUUGCUCCUCUGACGUUAGCGGCGGACGGGUGAGUAACACGUGGAUAACCUACCUAUAAGACUGGGAUAACUUCGGGAAACCGGAGCUAAUACCGGAUAAUAUAUUGAACCGCAUGGUUCAAUAGUGAAAGACGGUUUUGCUGUCACUUAUAGAUGGAUCCGCGCCGCAUUAGCUAGUUGGUAAGGUAACGGCUUACCAAGGCGACGAUGCGUAGCCGACCUGAGAGGGUGAUCGGCCACACUGGAACUGAGACACGGUCCAGACUCCUACGGGAGGCAGCAGGAGGGAAUCUUCCGCAAUGGGCGAAAGCCUGACGGAGCAACGCCGCGUGAGUGAUGAAGGUCUUCGGAUCGUAAAACUCUGUUAUUAGGGAAGAACAAAUGUGUAAGUAACUAUGCACGUCUGGACGGUACCUAAUCAGAAAGCCACGGCUAACUAAGU
This 496-nucleotide ribosomal RNA is filed under the name uncultured bacterium. RNAcentral describes it as "partial 16S ribosomal RNA". It matches the Rfam family "Bacterial small subunit ribosomal RNA", at positions 28 to 506 of the family's 1533-position model. The record is from RNAcentral.